GUCUUUUUGAAAAUAAUUUAAAGUCUAAUCUGCCCACUGAAUUUAUUUUAAAGGGCUGCAGUAUAUUGACUGUACAAAGGUAGCAUAAUCAAUAGUCUUUUAAUUGGAGACUUGUAUGAAUGAUUUGAUGAGAUAUAAACUGUCUCUUAAUUAUGUAUAAAAAUUAAUUUUUUAGUUAAAAAGCUAAAAUAUUUAUAAAAGACGAGAAGACCCUAUAGAGUUUCAUAUUUUAUUUUAUUUGAAUUUUAUAUAAAAUUUUUAAUUUAAAUAGAGUAAAAUAUUUUGUUGGGGUGAUAAAAAAAUUUAAGAAACUUUUUUUAAAAAUUUAACAUUAAUUUAUGAUUGUAUGAUCCAUUAAUUAUGAUUAUAAGAAUAAAUUACCUUAGGGAUAACAGCGUAAUUUUUUUUUUUAGUUCAAAUAAAAAUAAAAGUUUGCGACCUCGAUGUUGGAUUAAGAUAAAAUUUAAAUGCAAAAGUUUAAAAUUUUGAUCUGUUCGAUCAUUAAAAUCUUACA
RNAcentral lists this ribosomal RNA (514 nucleotides) under Colotis lais. RNAcentral's name for it is "partial 16S ribosomal RNA". The stretch from base 388 to 514 matches the Rfam family "Bacterial large subunit ribosomal RNA", at positions 2473 to 2600 of the family's 2925-position model. Lineage: Eukaryota; Metazoa; Arthropoda; Insecta; Lepidoptera; Pieridae. The record is from RNAcentral.